GACGAACGCUGGCGGCGUGCUUAACACAUGCAAGUCGAACGGAAAGGCCCUGCUUUUGUGGGGUGCUCGAGUGGCGAACGGGUGAGUAACACGUGAGUAACCUGCCCUUGACUUUGGGAUAACUUCAGGAAACUGGGGCUAAUACCGGAUAGGAGCUCCUGCUGCAUGGUGGGGGUUGGAAAGUUUCGGCGGUUGGGGAUGGACUCGCGGCUUAUCAGCUUGUUGGUGGGGUAGUGGCUUACCAAGGCUUUGACGGGUAGCCGGCCUGAGAGGGUGACCGUCCACAUUGGGACUGAGAUACGGCCCAGACUCCUACGGGAGGCAGCAGUGGGGAAUAUUGCACAAUGGGCGGAAGCCUGAUGCAGCAACGCCGCGUGCGGGAUGGCGGCCUUCGGGUUGUAAACCGCUUUCGCCUGUGACGAAGCGUGAGUGACGGUAAUGGGUAAAGAAGCACCGGCUAACUACGUG
RNAcentral lists this ribosomal RNA (468 nucleotides) under uncultured bacterium. RNAcentral's name for it is "partial 16S ribosomal RNA". It matches the Rfam family "Bacterial small subunit ribosomal RNA", at positions 28 to 507 of the family's 1533-position model. The record is from RNAcentral.